UACGGGGGGAGCAAGCGUUGUUCGGAUUUACUGGGCGUAAAGGGCGCGUAGGCGGUCAGCACAAGUCAGUUGUGAAAUCUCCGGGCUUAACUCGGAAAGGUCAACUGAUACUGUGCGACUAGAGUGCAGAAGGGGCAACUGGAAUUCUCGGUGUAGCGGUGAAAUGCGUAGAUAUCGAGAGGAACACCUGCGGCGAAGGCGGGUUGCUGGGCCGACACUGACGCUGAUGCGCGAAAGCUAGGGGAGCAAACGGG
This 254-nucleotide ribosomal RNA is filed under the name uncultured bacterium. RNAcentral's name for it is "partial 16S ribosomal RNA". It matches the Rfam family "Bacterial small subunit ribosomal RNA", at positions 524 to 776 of the family's 1533-position model. The record is from RNAcentral.